Pygocentrus nattereri (red-bellied piranha) is the source of this 2649-nucleotide long non-coding RNA. NCBI's taxonomy places the organism in Eukaryota, Metazoa, Chordata, Actinopteri, Characiformes, Serrasalmidae. The record is from Ensembl.
CAAGCUUUAAAGCGUCUUUCAUCCCUUCGCCGAAUGCUAAACAGAAAAACGCAAAUGAGAAAACAGUUCAUUGAUUUCAUGCAAAGGAUGCUGGAAGAGAAACAAGCAGAGCCAGCACCACCAUUAAAGGAAGGCGAGGAAAGAUGGUAUCUACCUAUAUUUGGAGUAUAUCACCCACAGAAACCUGACCAAAUAAGAGUGGUAUUCGAUUCAAGCGCCAGACACGAAGGAAUUUCCCUCAAUGAUGUGCUUCUGAGUGGACCUGAUCUGAACAAUGCUCUUCUUGGAGUUCUCAUUCGGACUCCACUGCUUGUGCAAAAGAGUUCAUCACACGCAAUUUUUAUGUGGACGACGGACUUGCAUCAUUUCCUAGUGAAACAGAAGCCAUUAGUGUCCUGCAGACUUCCCAAAAGAUGCUAGCUAAAUCGAACAUCAAGCUACAUAAAAUCGCAUCCAACAGUAGCAGUGUCAUGCAGGCAUUCUCACCCGAAGACCUGGCCAAAGAUUUGAAAAACCUUGAUUUAGGAGUGGAAUCACUACCUCUUCAGAGGAGUCUGGGUUUAGUUUGGAACCUUGAGACAGACAACUUUAUGUUCUGUGUUUCAAAGGAGGAGAAACCUUUGACAAAAAGAGGCAUUUUGUCUGCAGUGAACAGUUUGUUUGACCCCUUAGGCUUUGUGGUACCAGUCACAGUGGGAGGAAGAAACUUGGUGAGGAACCUAUCUGUGGAACAGUAUGACUGGGACACACCACUGCCAGCAUCCAAGCAGGAACAUUGGACUCUCUGGAAAGACUCUAUGAAAGACCUAGAACAGCUCCAGAUUCCAAGACCUUAUGUUCCAGUUUCUUUAUCGAUGCAGACACAGCGCAGAGAGUUGUGUGUGUUUUCAGAUGCGUCAGUCAUAGCCAUAGCUGCUGUGGCUUACUUGAAGACAGUUUCUACAACAGGACAGUGCCAUGUGGGAUUCAUCAUGGCAAAGGCAAAACUUGCUCCACGCCCGGCACAUACUGUUCCUCGACUUGAACUUUGCGCAGCGGUCCUGGCGAUCGAGUUGGCAGACUUUAUUCAGGACGAACUGGACAUUGACAUUCAUUCUGUGAUGUACUAUACUGACAGUAAAAUAGUCCUGGGUUAUAUUCAUAACACUUCACGCAGGUUUUAUGUCUAUGUGGCAAACAGGAUAACCCGAAUCAGAAAGUCUUCACAUCCAGAUCAGUGGCAUUACAUCUGCACUGAAGAAAACCCAGCGGAUCAUGGAACUCGACCAACAACUGCUACAACCCUCAAAAGCACCAACUGGUUUACUGGACCUUCAUUCCUAUCAAAACCCCAAGAAAGCCACAGUUCUCAGACAGAUGUCUUCGAACUGCUGGAUCCAGAUAUGGAUCUAGAAGUUUGCCCCGAAGUGACAACCUGUAACACAGUUGUGAAAGAAGGUGGACUUGGAGUUCAGAGGUUUCAUAGGUUCUCCACUUGGAAGUCUUUGACUCGUGCACUCUCCACACUAAUCAAGAAGGCAAGAAGUGUUGCAAAAACACUUGGUGGUAACACAGGAGAUGAGGAGGCACAGGCGGUGACAAUAAUCAUUAGAACCACGCAACAAGAUGCUUACAAAAUGGAGUUUCUGUGUCUUGCCAAGGGAGAUCAAAUCUCCAAACAAAGUCCACUUCGGAAGCUGACACCCUUUCUGGACAAAGAUGGAUUAUUGAGAGUCGGUGGCCAUAUGUCUGCAACUGAUAUGUCGUUUGAGGAUAGACACCCUCUGAUUAUUCCCAAGCUGCACAUUGCUACAUUGCUGGUGAGAAAAUAUCAUGAGCAGUCUGCACACCAAGGACGACAUUUCACGGAAGGAGCUAUUAGAUUAGCAGGACUUUGGCUAAUUGGAGGGAAACGACUUGUGUCAAGUGCGAUACACAAAUGUGUAACUUGCAGACUGAGAGGUAAAAUGCAGGUCCAGAAGAUGUCAGACUUGCCACCUGACAGAGUGUCACCAGAGCCACCAUUUACUCAUGUUGGUUUGGAUGUUUUCGGACCUUGGAUGGUGACUGCCCGAAGGACAAGAGGAGGGCAUGCUGAAAGUAAACGAUGGGCCGUCAUAUUCACUUGUCUGAGCACUAGAGCGGUGCACAUUGAGGUCAUAGAGACGAUGACCACUGCAAGCUUCAUCAAUGGACUCAGACGUUUCAGUGCCAUUAGAGGGCCCAUUAAAACAAUUCGAUCAGACCAGGGCACAAAUUUCAUUGGAGCCUGUAAAGAACUCAAACUCAACACAACUGAUCCUGAGUUGAAGACAUACCUUAAAGACAACAAGAGCACAUGGAUAUUCAACCCUCCCCACUCUUCCCACAUGGGCGGAGUGUGGGAGAGGAUGAUCGGCAUUGCUCGACGGAUUUUGGAUGCUCUUCUCCUCAAGCUGAAUCCAUCGUAUCUCACACAUGAGAUACUAGUCACUCUGAUGGCGGAAGUCACUGCCAUUAUGAACUCAAGACCAUUGGUCUCAGUGUCCUCUGACCCAGAAGUGCCAGCAGUUCUUACCCCAUCAAUGUUGUUGACACAUAAAAAGGAUACAUUGGCUGCACCUUCUGGGGAUUUUGAUGUUAACGAUCUUUCCAACAAACACUGGAGGAGAGUCCAAGCCCUUGCUGAUG